GCGGAGGGUGCAGUGAAGGCAGCAGGGCUCCCCGCUCUGGACUGCGGGGAAUGAGCUCAGAUAACUCAGGAUCAGAGGGGUCUAGCAACUUGGCCAAGAUUGCAAAAGCAGAGCCUGACAAGAUCCCAGCUGGGGUCCUAAUCAUCAGGGGAAAUUUGGACACAGAGACAGCCACACACACAGGGAGAAUGCCCAGGGAAGAUGAAGGCAGACAUCAGGCAAUGCAUCUACAGUGAAGGAGCACCAAAGACUGACUGCCAGCG
Molecule: non-coding RNA, 263 nt
Organism: Manis javanica (Malayan pangolin)
Lineage: Eukaryota; Metazoa; Chordata; Mammalia; Pholidota; Manidae
Source: RefSeq, a predicted model, not a curated record